Molecule: ribosomal RNA, 433 nt
Filed under: uncultured bacterium
Lineage: Bacteria
Description: partial 16S ribosomal RNA
Rfam family: Bacterial small subunit ribosomal RNA
Source: RNAcentral
AACGAACGCUGGCGGCAUGCCUAACACAUGCAAGUCGAACGGGACCUUCGGGUCUAGUGGCGCACGGGUGCGUACCGCGUGGGAACCUGCCCUUGGGUUCGGAAUCCCUCCCCGAAGGGGGUGCUAAUACCGGAUAAUGUCCUCGGACCAAAGAUUUCUGGCCUUUGGAUGGGCCCGCGUUGGAUUAGCUGGUUGGUAGGGUAAAAGCCGACCAAGGCGACGAUGCAUAGCUGGUCGGAGAGGAGGAUCAGCCACACUGGGAAUGAGACACGGACCAGAAUCGUACGGAAGGCAGGAGUGGGGUAUAUUGGAGACUGGGCGAAAGUCUGAUCCAGCAAUGCCGCGUGAGUGAUGAAGGCCGUAGGGUUGUAAAGCUCUUUUACCCGGGAUGAUAAUGACAGUACCGGGAGAAUAAGCUCCGGCUAACUCCGUG